AUACGGAGGAUCCGAGCGUUAUCCGGAUUUAUUGGGUUUAAAGGGUGCGCAGGCGGCCAUUUAAGUCAGCGGUUAAAUCGUGGGGCUCAACCCCAUUCUGCCGUUGAUACUGGGUGGCUUGAUUGCGGUCGAGGUUGGCGGAAGUCGUUGUGUAGCGGUGAAAUGCAUAGAUAUGACGAAGAACACCGAUUGCGUAGGCAGCUGACCAGACCGCAAAUGACGCUCAUGCACGAAAGUGCGGGGAUCGAACAGGAUUAGAUACCCUGGUAGUCCGCACAGUAAACGAUGAAUACUUGUUUUCGGCGAUAUAAUGUCGGAGGCAAAGCGAAAGCGAUAAGUAUUCCACCUGGGGAGUACGCCGGCAACGGUGAAACUCAAAUGAAUUGACGGGG
Molecule: ribosomal RNA, 392 nt
Filed under: uncultured bacterium
Lineage: Bacteria
Description: partial 16S ribosomal RNA
Rfam family: Bacterial small subunit ribosomal RNA
Source: RNAcentral